RNAcentral lists this unclassified non-coding RNA (267 nucleotides) under Hevea brasiliensis (rubber tree). Lineage: Eukaryota; Viridiplantae; Streptophyta; Magnoliopsida; Malpighiales; Euphorbiaceae. The record is from RNAcentral.
AUCGUCACCCACAUUUGAUUUUUCUCUGUAACUGAUGAAGGUCUCAAAACCGUCUCCUUUAGCACCGUAGUUCUUGAAAUUGUUCUCUGGGACAUUCCCAUUGAACCCAUAAGACUUGAAGGUAUCAUUAGCUCCAUUACUAUUCUCGCCGUAAUUCGUAAAAUCCGACUGAAUCGCAUUCGAGUUCUCUCCAUAGUUCGUAAACUCAUUAGGGACUGCAUUCCCGUUCUUCCCAUAACUGGUGAAUGAUUCGCUACCGGAGUUUGU